This 883-nucleotide long non-coding RNA is filed under the name Rhinopithecus bieti (black snub-nosed monkey). RNAcentral describes it as "lncRNA (ENSRBIG00000046691.1)". Lineage: Eukaryota; Metazoa; Chordata; Mammalia; Primates; Cercopithecidae. The record is from RNAcentral.
AGGAAGAGAACAAGAGUGGCAGCAUGUCAGGAGCCCUCACCGGGACUGGAGCAGAUGCCACUGGGCCCUUCCAGGAAUUCUUUGGUUCUGUUGGGUUCUGGUUCCCUCCGUGUGAUGGAAAACAACUCAACAAACCUAUUUGCCUUUGGAUUUUGAAACAUAUUAAGAAAUCAGAAAUAAUCGAGUUCAAAGUGCCACACACCUUGAUGAUGUGCACAUCAGUGGGCAUUGAUUUUGUGACUUUGCCAAGUACACAGGCCGUUCGUCAGAAUCCUGAAAUCCUGAGAGAAGGUGACCCUGAGAUAGCACUAAUGGUGCGUUCAACGUGGGGAGCUCACACCUGUCCCGUGAAAAGGACCCACAUGUUUCUUCUCUGGUCUACUUAUCUCCCUCAGUAUAGAAUACCACCUUGUACACUUCCUUGGCAAAUUGCUUUAGUGCAUUAGAUCUACAGUACUACAAUCUAAAUCCAUAUUAGACUUCAAUAUUAAUGUUUGUGUUAACCAUAAACACAAAAUACAAACACUACCGAUUUUUAUGAAUUAGUGAUACUAAUAUUAAUUUUUGUGUUAACUGUGAACUUCAAUACUAAUUUCAAUACUAAUUAAAUACUAAUUUUUGUGUUAACCACAAAUGCGUAAUAAAGAACAGUAAGAGAAAAUAAGAGGAUGUGGAAAAUCAAUAUUAGUUCUAAAUGUUCUUAUUUCGUUCCCAAUGUUUUGUAUCAAACUGUUUAUAGCACAUGAUUUUUCCUCCCAAAGUACUGCCUUCAUGCUCUAGGAAAAUUUGCUUUCAAUUUUCAAUAAUCAAAUGGUAAAUUUAGUUUAAAUGAUCUUCUUUAAAAUGAAAACACUUGAUUCUGAGAAGAUUUUUCCUAAUUGGC